RNAcentral lists this transfer RNA (66 nucleotides) under Allobates masniger. RNAcentral describes it as "tRNA-Tyr". It matches the Rfam family "tRNA". Rfam says of the family: Transfer RNA (tRNA) molecules are approximately 80 nucleotides in length. Their secondary structure includes four short double-helical elements and three loops (D, anti-codon, and T loops). Further hydrogen bonds mediate the characteristic L-shaped molecular structure. tRNAs have two regions of fundamental functional importance: the anti-codon, which is responsible for specific mRNA codon recognition, and the 3' end, to which the tRNAs corresponding amino acid is attached (by aminoacyl-tRNA synthetases). tRNAs cope with the degeneracy of the genetic code in two manners: having more than one tRNA (with a specific anti-codon) for a particular amino acid; and 'wobble' base-pairing, i.e. permitting non-standard base-pairing at the 3rd anti-codon position. Lineage: Eukaryota; Metazoa; Chordata; Amphibia; Anura; Aromobatidae. The record is from RNAcentral.
GGUAAGGUGGCCGAGAAGGUAGUGGGUUGUAGCCCCGAGCAUAGAGGUUAAGCCCUCUCCUUACCA